RNA transcript from Jaculus jaculus (lesser Egyptian jerboa), 1513 nucleotides. It is a transcript of the gene named MYST/Esa1 associated factor 6, with no coding region annotated. The transcript is spliced from 9 exons. Lineage: Eukaryota; Metazoa; Chordata; Mammalia; Rodentia; Dipodidae. The record is from RefSeq and is a predicted model, not a curated record.
CCCGCCCCCAGCCCCGCGCCGCCGCUGCCGCCUCAGCCCAACAUGGCGAUGCACAACAAGACGGCGCCGCCGCAGAUCCCGGACACCCGGCGGGAGCUGGCGGAGCUGGUGAAGCGGAAGCAGGAGCUGGCGGAAACACUUGCAAACUUGGAGAGACAGAUCUAUGCUUUUGAAGGAAGCUACCUGGAAGACACUCAGAUGUAUGGCAAUAUUAUUCGUGGCUGGGAUCGUUAUCUGACCAACCAAAAAAACUCCAAUAGCAAAAACGAUAGGAGGAACCGGAAGUUUAAGGAAGCUGAACGACUCUUCAGCAAAUCUUCUGUUACUUCGGCAGCUGCAGUAAGUGCAUUGGCAGGAGUUCAGGACCAGCUCAUUGAAAAGAGGGAGCCAGGCAGUGGCACCGAAAGCGACACUUCUCCAGACUUCCAUAAUCAGGAGAACGAGCCUACCCAGGAGGACCCUGAGGAUCUGGACGGGUCUGUGCAGGGAGUGAAACCUCAGAAGGCUGCCUCCUCUACCUCCUCAGGAAGUCAUCACAGCAGCCACAAAAAAAGGAAGAAUAAAAACCGGCACAGCCCGUCUGGCAUGUUUGAUUAUGACUUUGAGUAUGUAUAUUAGGUUAGGCUGGGAAGUUUUUUUUAAAAACAGAAAAACGUGAUGGAGGAUUGAUUUGAAGUUAAACAAAAAGCCCCGAGCUGACUAUUAGAAGACUCAGUAGCAGAAGUUUCCAGGCUGUAGAGCUCUGCCUCCCCUCUCUGACCUCACAGAGAUAAUGUCCCUCACCUGACUGUGUGGCCAUCCUCCUCUGCUCUCCCAGACCCAGUGCCUGUGACUCUGAGUAGUUUGUUCUAAGUGUGGUGACAAACACGUCAUUUCUGUGAGAUAUCAAAUCACUUGCUCUGUGCCAUUGUUAGAACUGCAGGAAGACCAGUACACGGUCGCAAUCCCAGCGAGUGGCUCACUGUGCAUUUCUCCCUCCUUAGAAUGAAUGUCUCCCCCCAGUCUGGCUGGCACCAGCUGCACCUGUGACCCACGAGAAGCGCACCCUCUGUUGGGUUAAUGCGGACAGGAGAACAGACAAGUCAAUUUCACAUGGAGGCUGCAAAUGUCUGCCAUUCUCUUGUUUUGUUUUGUGUCUUGUUGUUUUUCUAUUGUUGUUUUUACCAUCUUAUUUUCUUUUGGGACAUUUUAUAAUGCCUUUGUACAACUCACACCUUCCUGAUGACGUAUGUGAUCAUCUGCUUCAUGCAGGUGUUGGUAUUCUUAUCUGAAGCAAAUGUGGCUUUCCCUGAGUAAAUCGGGGAACUUGGCUCUUUUAGUUUGUGCUUUUUGCAGGGGUGGGGGAGAUAAAGUGUGUUUAUUUAAUAGUUAGAUAGCCUAGAUCUUUCUAAGUUGGAAGCAGUUUUAUGUUCAAGGGACAGGAAAAGCUGAAAAACAUACAUCAUACAUUUAAAUCCAUCCUCUUAAAAGAUAUUUUAAUUCUUUUGUAUAAAUAAAAUUUCACAGGCUUUGA